RNAcentral lists this ribosomal RNA (1663 nucleotides) under Salmonella enterica subsp. enterica serovar Heidelberg str. 622737-12. RNAcentral's name for it is "bacterial LSU rRNA". It matches the Rfam family "Bacterial large subunit ribosomal RNA", at positions 1286 to 2925 of the family's 2925-position model. The record is from RNAcentral. Lineage: Bacteria; Pseudomonadati; Pseudomonadota; Gammaproteobacteria; Enterobacterales; Enterobacteriaceae.
AAGUGCGAAUGCUGACAUAAGUAACGAUAAAGCGGGUGAAAAGCCCGCUCGCCGGAAGACCAAGGGUUCCUGUCCAACGUUAAUCGGGGCAGGGUGAGUCGACCCCUAAGGCGAGGCCGAAAGGCGUAGUCGAUGGGAAACGGGUUAAUAUUCCCGUACUUGGUGUUACUGCGAAGGGGGGACGGAGAAGGCUAUGUUGGCCGGGCGACGGUUGUCCCGGUUUAAGCGUGUAGGUGUGUGUUCCAGGUAAAUCCGGUUCACUUUAACACUGAGGCGUGACGACGAGGCACUACGGUGCUGAAGCAACAAAUGCCCUGCUUCCAGGAAAAGCCUCUAAGCAUCAGGUAACAUCAAAUCGUACCCCAAACCGACACAGGUGGUCAGGUAGAGAAUACCAAGGCGCUUGAGAGAACUCGGGUGAAGGAACUAGGCAAAAUGGUGCCGUAACUUCGGGAGAAGGCACGCUGACACGUAGGUGAAGUGAUUUACUCAUGGAGCUGAAGUCAGUCGAAGAUACCAGCUGGCUGCAACUGUUUAUUAAAAACACAGCACUGUGCAAACACGAAAGUGGACGUAUACGGUGUGACGCCUGCCCGGUGCCGGAAGGUUAAUUGAUGGGGUCAGCGCAAGCGAAGCUCCUGAUCGAAGCCCCGGUAAACGGCGGCCGUAACUAUAACGGUCCUAAGGUAGCGAAAUUCCUUGUCGGGUAAGUUCCGACCUGCACGAAUGGCGUAAUGAUGGCCAGGCUGUCUCCACCCGAGACUCAGUGAAAUUGAACUCGCUGUGAAGAUGCAGUGUACCCGCGGCAAGACGGAAAGACCCCGUGAACCUUUACUAUAGCUUGACACUGAACAUUGAGCCUUGAUGUGUAGGAUAGGUGGGAGGCUUUGAAGUGUGGACGCCAGUCUGCAUGGAGCCGACCUUGAAAUACCACCCUUUAAUGUUUGAUGUUCUAACGUGGACCCGUUACCCGGGUUGCGGACAGUGUCUGGUGGGUAGUUUGACUGGGGCGGUCUCCUCCUAAAGAGUAACGGAGGAGCACGAAGGUUGGCUAAUCCUGGUCGGACAUCAGGAGGUUAGUGCAAUGGCAUAAGCCAGCUUGACUGCGAGCGUGACGGCGCGAGCAGGUGCGAAAGCAGGUCAUAGUGAUCCGGUGGUUCUGAAUGGAAGGGCCAUCGCUCAACGGAUAAAAGGUACUCCGGGGAUAACAGGCUGAUACCGCCCAAGAGUUCAUAUCGACGGCGGUGUUUGGCACCUCGAUGUCGGCUCAUCACAUCCUGGGGCUGAAGUAGGUCCCAAGGGUAUGGCUGUUCGCCAUUUAAAGUGGUACGCGAGCUGGGUUUAGAACGUCGUGAGACAGUUCGGUCCCUAUCUGCCGUGGGCGCUGGAGAACUGAGGGGGGCUGCUCCUAGUACGAGAGGACCGGAGUGGACGCAUCACUGGUGUUCGGGUUGUCAUGCCAAUGGCACUGCCCGGUAGCUAAAUGCGGAAGAGAUAAGUGCUGAAAGCAUCUAAGCACGAAACUUGCCCCGAGAUGAGUUCUCCCUGAGACUUAGAGUCUCCUGAAGGAACGUUGAAGACGACGACGUUGAUAGGCCGGGUGUGUAAGCGCAGCGAUGCGUUGAGCUAACCGGUACUAAUGAACCGUGAGGCUUAACCUUAC